CUGGAUCUGACUGCUAUCCUGAAAAUUUUUGUAUCUGCAGAAGGAGCUUCUUUGAUCUGCAAUGAUCUAUGGAUCCGAAUGUUUCAUUCAGAGCAUACUUGUACAGUUCUGCAGAAAAUUCACCAUUUGUGAAACCUAGAACUCGUGAAGAAUUUCAAGGCCAAGAAAAGUACCCAAAUGAAACGUGGCAGCCUGAUGAAUCAAGGAAGUGGAAUUCGGAAGCAUCAAAACCUGAUAGUCUGAAAGUAUCGAGUAUAAAUUCCCUAUAGGAUAA
This is a long non-coding RNA of Nothoprocta perdicaria, 274 nucleotides long. RefSeq lists it as uncharacterized. The transcript is spliced from 3 exons. Lineage: Eukaryota; Metazoa; Chordata; Aves; Tinamiformes; Tinamidae. The record is from RefSeq and is a predicted model, not a curated record.